ACUCCUACGGGAGGCAGCAGUGGGGGAUAUUGCACAAUGGGGGAAACCCUGAUGCAGCGACGCCGCGUGGAGGAAGAAGUAUUUCGGUACGUAAACUCCUAUCAGCAGGGAAGAAAAUGACGGUACCUGACUAAGAAGCCCCGGCUAACUACGUGCCAGCAGCCGCGGUAAU
This 172-nucleotide ribosomal RNA is filed under the name uncultured bacterium. RNAcentral's name for it is "partial 16S ribosomal RNA". It matches the Rfam family "Bacterial small subunit ribosomal RNA", at positions 335 to 524 of the family's 1533-position model. The record is from RNAcentral.